UACGAAGGGGGCUAGCGUUGCUCGGAAUCACUGGGCGUAAAGCGCACGUAGGCGGGUCUUUAAGUCAGGGGUGAAAUCCUGGAGCUCAACUCCAGAACUGCCUUUGAUACUGAAGAUCUUGAGUUCGGGAGAGGUGAGUGGAACUGCGAGUGUAGAGGUGAAAUUCGUAGAUAUUCGCAAGAACACCAGUGGCGAAGGCGGCUCACUGGCCCGAUACUGACGCUGAGGCACGAAAGCGUGGGAGCAAACAGGG
This 253-nucleotide ribosomal RNA is filed under the name uncultured bacterium. RNAcentral describes it as "partial 16S ribosomal RNA". It matches the Rfam family "Bacterial small subunit ribosomal RNA", at positions 524 to 777 of the family's 1533-position model. The record is from RNAcentral.